AAACAUAGGAAAGUUUGACAAGCUUCAGUAUGUUCCUUCACUUUUCAAAGUCAGGAAAGUUUGACGUCGUAAUAUAUGACUUCGUAAUUAAUUAAUUAGUACGCAAGGGAUGUGUGCUAUCUUGUGCCUGUAUCGUCCUUUGUAUCUCUCUUCAAGCAGAGGACAAUUGCUAGUAUAAAGUAGCGCAAGUGAAAGAGGCAGGCCUUCCUCCACUGGAAGGGUUGUAAGCUUCGGACAGUUGAAGAUCCAAAUACUUUCAAGAGAGGUGAGGAAUUGAAAGCCCUUGCUCAGUUUCUUUAGAUUUGGGAAGCCUGCAAUACUCAACUUAACAAGAGAUCUGGGAAGCAGUAUCUCCGUCUCCUUUGAAUUCUUAGCAGCAGGUGGAAAUGACACCAGACCUCCAUCAUCUUCACCCCUCAGAUCCAAUUCUCUCAAAGAGUGUUGUUAGGUUGGUGGGGAAGAAAGUUGUAGUCGUCAAACCUUCAAAGUAAUCAAUUUCCAGUUUUUCAAGAUUACUGGUGUGCAUCAUGUCUCUCGCCAACUGUGCCACCUCCAAUUUAUCGCAAUUUUCGAUCCGUAUCACUCUUGGCCACACAUUCAUUCUCGGCAACGAAACAAGACUUUGACAAUAAAAAAUUAUUAAUGACCGACGGUCGGUGAGGCCGCACAGUCCCUCGGGCAAGGAUUUCAGGUUUGGGCAGUCCCUGAUGUCAAUUUCUUCGAGUUGCCAGCUGUCAUCGAGGAACCUCUCACUGAUUAGCUCCAGCUGUCCACAACACAUUAUCUCAAGCUGUUUAAGAGACCUGGGUAAUUGACUUUUGCAUAAUAAGCACAUCAAAGAGGGACAAAGCCAUAUUCUCAAACUCUCAAGACGAGAAGAAGAAGAACCGUUAUCCACCUCCUCCUCUUUCUCUAUUAAUGACUUCAAAUUCCCACAAUUCCUUAUCUCUAUUCUUUUUAGGCUGAGAGAUAUCUGGUAUUUUGCAAAGUGCAACAGAGAUCCGCAGUCCACAAUCACUGUGACUUGGAGACAAGGUGGCAGACCAACAUCAGGAAAAGAAACAAGACUUGAACAUUUACUUAUGUGCAGCUCUUGAAGUGAUCUAAGGUGAUGCAAUCCUUC
RNA transcript from Fragaria vesca subsp. vesca, 1123 nucleotides. RefSeq lists it as uncharacterized. NCBI's taxonomy places the organism in Eukaryota, Viridiplantae, Streptophyta, Magnoliopsida, Rosales, Rosaceae. The transcript has 2 exons. The record is from RefSeq and is a predicted model, not a curated record.